UGCUAUUGAUCAUUCGCAAAUCAGUUCACCGAGAGUGCAAGAUUUCUCAAGAGGGAUUAAUUUUGAGAAACAUUCCCUUGACAGCGACAUAAUAAUUACUCCUUCUUCAAGAUUGUCAGUUAGCUCACUGAUAGAUAGUAGAUUUAUUAGAAUUUUUAACCCCUGAUGCUAGUGGAAUGUCUGGCAUUCCUGAAGGAUGUGCUAUUGAUCAUUCGCAAAUCAGUUCACCGAGAGUGCAAGAUUUCUCAAGAGGGAUUAAUUUUGAGAAACAUUCCCUUGACAGCGACAUAAUAAUUACUCCUUCUUCAAGAUUGUCA
Molecule: non-coding RNA, 317 nt
Organism: Nylanderia fulva
Lineage: Eukaryota; Metazoa; Arthropoda; Insecta; Hymenoptera; Formicidae
Source: RefSeq, a predicted model, not a curated record